Molecule: unclassified non-coding RNA, 261 nt
Filed under: Hevea brasiliensis (rubber tree)
Lineage: Eukaryota; Viridiplantae; Streptophyta; Magnoliopsida; Malpighiales; Euphorbiaceae
Source: RNAcentral
GGCGUUUCAUUUUGGAUCUUUCCUUGCUUGUUUUAUACAAUCAACAAUUAGUGCUGUUAGCUUGCAAUUUAGCUAUCUCUGAAUAGGCCACUUGCUAAAAAUAACAUGUCAUGACACUUUUGUUUAUAGCACAAGUUCAUCAUCCUUAGCGGUUGCCAAGUUCCUGAGCACUAACACAUCAAGUAUUAUUAUAAUACCAGGCAGACAAGUGUGCUUCAUAGAUUUUAUGGAUGUUUUAAUACACAUAUUUUUUUAAACUCA